UUCUGCUCAUAGUUGUUUCCAUGUAAAUCUGUAGGAAUUCUACUCUUCUCCAUGGCUUUGUUCAAGACUAUAGCUGAGCCAGUUUGUGAUAUACUGGAGCAGGGGAGGAUAUGGGCAAAUGAGAUCACCCUUGUUUUUCUGCCUAUUUGUGAUGAGUAGGGCUGGGACUCCAGGAGUUCUGGUAUCUGUUCCAGGCUCUCUAUUGCAGACAUCCUGUAAGACCUUGAGCAAGACAGACCUCGCUGAAGCUUGUUUCCCCUCUCACUUACAUUAGUAGAAUCAGUGUAAUUCUGCCAAUUCCAACAGCGUGACUCCUGGUUUAUGCUGGCAUAAGUGAGAUCAAAAUCAGCAUUUCUGGGUUGAAAUGCUGGGUGAUAGACAAAGCCUGUAUUCUCAGUGGCAUAACUGAGCACUCAGCCGUUGUGGUACAGACAUAUCUUCAUGGGUUAGCCUUCCUGCAAGAAAUAAAUAAACUAUUGUAUGGAGCCAGAUAUCUAAAACAAGUUGCUCCCACCCCAUCUGAUGCCACCUCCAAAACAGAGGUGCUUGUGCAAGGUAAAGAUGAUUCACUGGAAAUAGUCUUGCAAAGGCUUGUGUGUCUGUAAAGGAGUGGAAAAUGGACAGGGAAGUAGAGAGAUCAGGAGCAGCAAAACCAAGGACAUAGUAAGAACAAGCUCUGGGAACGUGUCAGUGAGAUGAAACUCUUAGACAGAGCUUUUAGAUUAAGGGCUGACUGGAAAGAAGGUUGGAUCUGUGAGCAAAGACUUUCUCUUGCUGUUGGACUCCCGCUGUGUUCAGGGAGAUGGGACAUUGUACCAUCUUUGUAAACAAACAGGAUUACAUCAAAGAAAUAUCAGCCAUUUUCCUCUUAUUGAGAACAACGUUCAACCACCUCAAUUUUAUUAGCUGGUUGGGCUCAAAAAAAAAAAGGGGGGGUAACAAAGUGCUAUACAUUGUACAUACUCUGAAAAACCAGGUACUUUUCAAAUUGGGAACCCAGAAUUAGCUGAUACUUCAUUUUGACUUUAUUCUCUGUGCCGCAGUUUUCUGUAGGUAAAACAAGGAUAAUAAGAGUACCUCAGUUCCCUGCAGUGUUGUGAUGAUUAGUCCAUUAAUGUUUGUAAAGAAGUAUAACACUGAAAUAAAAGCACCAUAGAGAAAUUAAUCCUUCUAUCCUCAGUGCAGGACUUGCAGGGCCUGCCAUUAAUAAGGCACAGGGACCUAUUUUGAAUGAGGAGGAUGAAAAAAGUCAAAAUACCUAC
Molecule: long non-coding RNA, 1262 nt
Organism: Gavialis gangeticus (Gharial)
Lineage: Eukaryota; Metazoa; Chordata; Crocodylia; Gavialidae
Exons: 3
Source: RefSeq, a predicted model, not a curated record